AUAUGAUGCUGAGAGCAUUUGAUGCACAACUUUUUAAACCUCUCCCAGUACUCAUACAGAGACUCGCCUGGGUGUUGUUUGAUGCCGCAUAUCUCCUUCCUUAGUCU
Small nucleolar RNA from Coffea eugenioides, 107 nucleotides. Lineage: Eukaryota; Viridiplantae; Streptophyta; Magnoliopsida; Gentianales; Rubiaceae. The record is from RefSeq and is a predicted model, not a curated record.